UGGGGGUGACUUUAAUACUAGAAGCGUUGAAACGGAGAAUGUGAUUAAUUAAAUGUCAUUAUUUAAAAUUCAUAUAUGUUUAAAGACUCAUCACACACCACGUUACUUCCAUUGAAUAUUAUUAUAAAUAUAAAUAAAUAAAACUUAAUUCACAGAUGUCCCCUAUGCUGCUAGAUAAUGGAAUACAAUUACAUAAGAAACAUCCUUUCAGUUACUUUCCCGCUGAUGUUUUUUAUGGACUGCAGAGAAAACGUUUCGCUCGUUUUGUAAAGCAUUUUGUUAACUUCAAGAUGCUUUGGCGCUGCGCUAUCUGCCUUGUUUUCCUCAGUUUUUCACCAAAACUGUUAUUGAGCCAUAUUAAUCGAAUGCACAGCCGUAGCUCUGAUUUCAGGUUGCUCUGUGGUAUUGACGGAUGUAUCAAGGUAUAUCGAGUGUAUAACUCAUUCUAUCAUCAUGUGAAAAGAAGACACUCUCAACACCUUCUUGAAAGCACCAGAGCAGGCGAUGGCAACCAUGCAGGUCAGCAACCACAGGAGGAGGGUCAAGGAACACACCAGCAACAAGACAACGUUCAAUCCAAUCAACUUCCAGAGGAAGUUGGUAUCUCUGGUAUCAGCAAUCAACAACUGACAACUGAUACAGAUGAAAGGCAAAUAGAAGAUGGAGCUGCAGUACAACCAGAUCUGACAACACAGGCCACCUUUGUCAUAAAUGCCCGGGCCAAACAUCGUCUCUCACAGAAAAGGCAUGAAUAACAUUGUUGCUGGAGUGCAGCAGUAUCAGUCAUCAUUGUUGGACAACCUCAGGGGGCAGAUGGAGCAAGUAUUAAAGAAUCAUUCAGGAAGCUCAUCAGGACACCUUCAAAAAGAAGUUAUGUGCAUAUUUGACAAUUUUAUUGACCCUUUUACAAGUGUUGCAACAACAUUUCGACAGAACAGUGUUAUUAAGAAGCAAUUCAGUAUUGUGAAUGCUGAAGAAAUUCUAAUUGCUCGAACCAUAUGCAGGACGAAACGUGGAGGAUCUAAAGACUUCUUCAUCAAAGACAAAGUGUUUCAUUAUGUACCAUUAGUCAAAAGUCUAGAACAGUUCUUAUCACACCCAAGGUUAUGGUCUAUGAUUGACAAGGGACCACAGAGGUGCAGAGAAAGUUUUUUUAUAGACAUUGUCGAUGGUGCCCUUCUAAAAUCACAUCCCUUAUUUUCAGAAAAACCAAAUGCAUUACAGAUUGUUGUAUACACGGAUGAAAUAGAGAUCUGUAAUCCACUAGGAUCAUUUGCAUCAAAAAACAAAUUAAUAAUGGUGUAUUACACCCUAGCAAACAUAAAUCCGAAAUACAGGUCUAAACUUGCUGCUAUUAGGCUACUUGCCCUGGCUAGGUCAGCUCCGUCAAUGUGGUGUAGAUGUUAUAUUGAAUAGAAUCAAAGAAGAUAUGGAUGCAUUGUACAAUGGUGUUAAAAUGCAAACUAUUAAUGGACAGAAAACUGUUUAUGGUCUCUAUUUGUGGCGACACUCUGGCGCAGCAUGAACUUGCAGGGUUCAAAGAGAGUGUGGGCUUUGCCUAUAGUAAAUGCAGACACUGUGAGUGUACUUUUGAGGACAUGCAGUCAUACUUCAACGAGGAUUCAUUUACCAAAAGGACCUUGAAGAAGCAUAUCAGAUAAACUAAUGAAAUAGAAAAUGCAAACACAGACUUGCUUCGCAACAGUCUAAGAACAACAUAUGGGAUCAAUCGGAGGAGCAAAUUAGUUGAUAUCCCUGCCUUUGAUAUUAUUCAACAGACUCCGCAAGAUAUUAUGCAUGUAAUUCUGGAAGGAAUAGCUCCUUUGGAAAUCAAGCAUGUUUUGAAUCAUCUUGUUCAGUCAGGGCAGAUAGAUCUAGACUCUGCUAUUUCUCUGUGAAUUCUGCUAUUCUUGGUUUCCCUUAUUCCCCUCUGAAUGUUAGAGAUCGGCCAUCCCCAAUAUCAGUUAGUACGUUAAUGUCAAAUGAUGGUAAAUUAAAACAAUCGUCUGGUCAAAUGCUUGUCCUGAUAAGGAUGUUGCCCUUUGUUUUGGAAAGCUUGAAAACCAAUGCAUUUGUGCAUCUGAUCAUUGAGCUAAUAGAGAUUGUGCAAAUAGUGUUUGCACCUGUUCUUACCAUUGCAACAGUUUCUAGAUUGAAGUCACUAAUUUAAAAUAAUUUGAAAAAAUGGAAGGAACUUUUUCCAGAGAACAAUAUCACACCUAAGCAGCAUCAUAUGCUACAUUUGCCCUCACAGAUUAAGUCACUGGGUCCAAUGAUUAGACAUGUGUGUAUGCGGUUUGAGUCUUAACAUUGUUUCUUUAAACAAUGGGCUUCUAAGCUCAAUUUAAAAAAUAUUAGCAAGUCUUUGAAUAAUCAGAACCAAAUGUAUGAAGGCUGCCAAAAUGCUGACCAUUCAAUGCACCCAAUCUUUUCAAAUGAAAGAGAGAUGGGACCUGUAUCUGAGGUUAAAGAUCUACAAUAUUUACGUGGAAAAUUAAGAGACUUUCUAGGUUAUGAUGAAGUAAACAAUGCUGUAUCAGUCAAAUGGCUUGUGAUUUAUGGCAAUAAAUACGUAACUCAAAAGUCAAUGAUCCUUGCCAAAGUUGUAAAUGAUAAUAUGCCAGAAUUUGGAUUGGUCAAAAACAUAUUUCUUGCUGAUUCUACACUUUAUUGUUUAGAAUAGCAACCAUUUCAAACUAUACACUUUGAUAGAAAUAUGAUGGCAUAUCAAGUUGAGGUCCCGCAUCUUGCACAGGCCACUGAGUUAGUGAAUUCUGAAAAGCUGGUUGACUUUACCUCUUAUUACACAAUCAGCAGCAAGAGCCAAACCUUUGUACAGGUCAAAUACCAUCUUGGGGAUGUAAUAGAAUUGUACAACGCUGACAAAUUAGUCAUUGUGUGUUCCCCAAAUAUGAUAUGACUUUUGCUUUUAACGUAGCUUUGUAAUUUGACUUUGGAAUAUCUACUUAAGGACGGUCCAGAGCAAAUGAAAACAUACCUGCUGCAGUGCACAAAUGAUGUGAAUGUUUGUAUAAAGAUAAGCUAUUUCUGUUAAGAAGCUAAAUGUUUUAAAUGUUACGUAUGAAAUGUUGAAACAUUAGAUCAGAUGUGCCAUGUGCCAAUUUCCAGUACUGUACCUACUAUAUUUUUAUGAGUACAUCAUUUAUAUUGUCUGUUUGACAAUAAAACUAAAGAUUACACUUAAAUGUUCUGUUUUUAAUAUGGGAAGAGUUAAAAUGAUAACAAAGUCAUCAUUUUUUAUUUCUUGAUUAAAAUAAGAAAUUAUGACUUAACAAAAAGCAGUUUGUACUUUUCAGUGAGGAUUAUAAU
Hypomesus transpacificus is the source of this 3330-nucleotide long non-coding RNA. RefSeq lists it as uncharacterized. Lineage: Eukaryota; Metazoa; Chordata; Actinopteri; Osmeriformes; Osmeridae. The transcript has 4 exons. The record is from RefSeq and is a predicted model, not a curated record.